GUCUAUGGCCAUGCCACCCUGAAUGUGCCCGAUCUUAUCAGAUCUCAGAAGCUAAGUAGGGUCGGGCUUGGUUAGUACUUGGACGAGAGACCAUUUAGGAAUACUAGGUGCUGUAGAAA
RNAcentral lists this ribosomal RNA (119 nucleotides) under Pteropus alecto (black flying fox). The record is from RNAcentral. Lineage: Eukaryota; Metazoa; Chordata; Mammalia; Chiroptera; Pteropodidae.